RNAcentral lists this ribosomal RNA (253 nucleotides) under uncultured bacterium. RNAcentral describes it as "partial 16S ribosomal RNA". It matches the Rfam family "Bacterial small subunit ribosomal RNA", at positions 524 to 776 of the family's 1533-position model. The record is from RNAcentral.
UACGUAGGUGGCAAGCGUUAUCCGGAAUUACUGGGUGUAAAGGGAGAGUAGGCGGCAAGGUAAGCGAUAUGUGAAAGCCUUAGGCUUAACCAAAGGAUUGCAUAACGAACUAUCUAGCUAGAGUACAGGAGAGGAAAGCGGAAUUCCUAGUGUAGCGGUGAAAUGCGUAGAUAUUAGGAAGAACACCAGUGGCGAAGGCGGCUUUCUGGACUGAAACUGACGCUGAGGCUCGAAAGCGUGGGGAGCGAACAGG